UGCCAACGGUGAAAUACGCAAUACACUUCCUACGAUUUUCGAACAUAUCGAUAUUUCUCACGAUCGAUUUCAAAACGCGAAGAAUGGCGGAAGGAAGCACACCUCGUCUGUAAAGAAAAAAGUGUUAUUCAGAAAAAUCAUCUAGAAAGAAGUGUCAUAUUUGUAGUUGU
This is a long non-coding RNA of Frieseomelitta varia, 170 nucleotides long. RefSeq lists it as uncharacterized. The record is from RefSeq and is a predicted model, not a curated record. Lineage: Eukaryota; Metazoa; Arthropoda; Insecta; Hymenoptera; Apidae. The transcript is spliced from 3 exons.